This 325-nucleotide ribosomal RNA is filed under the name Triticum aestivum (bread wheat). Its description in RNAcentral is "partial small subunit ribosomal RNA". Lineage: Eukaryota; Viridiplantae; Streptophyta; Magnoliopsida; Poales; Poaceae. The record is from RNAcentral.
CGACCACCUCCCACCACGCGGCAGCGCACCCGCCCCGUCGUGGCCUGCGCCCCACCCUCGACUAACCACUGCCGGCGCACCUCACCAUGACCUCCGCGGCUCCCUGGCGUUGGAUCCGGCCAAGCCGUGCCGAAAUCGAGCACCCCGUUCUUCCUCCUUUCUAUAACCUAUGUUCAUCCCUGAGAUCUCGUCCCUCUCUCACAACAGGAUGUUGUCGGUUGCCGCUCCUCACGCCCAGACGGCGCUGCCCUCGUCAGAUCCGGCGCCUCUAACCGGGUCCAUCCCUUCCACAGCCUCGCCGACACCUCCCCGUGCAGGAUCCCAA